Molecule: ribosomal RNA, 253 nt
Filed under: uncultured soil bacterium
Lineage: Bacteria
Description: partial 16S ribosomal RNA
Rfam family: Bacterial small subunit ribosomal RNA
Source: RNAcentral
AGAUUGAACGCUGGCGGCAGGCCUAACACAUGCAAGUCGAGCGGUAGAGAGGUGCUUGCAUCUCUUGAGAGCGGCGGACGGGUGAGUAAUGCCUAGGAAUCUGCCUAGUGGUGGGGGAUAACGUUCGGAAACGGCGCUAAUACCGCAUACGUCCUAGGAGAAGCGGGGACCGUCGGCGUCGCGCCAUAGAUGAGCCGUAGGUACGGACUUAGUCGUAGUUGGUGGAGGUAAGUGGCUCACCGAGGACGACGAC